UCCAAGAGCAGCCAAUGAUUGUAGAGGUUCAGGAGAGGUGGCCUACACUCUUUUUUCAAGAACAGAUCUGUGAGGAAUUUUUCCGCAUCACCAACAAAGACCUUCUAGGAGUCUUCAUGGCAGCCACUGACAAGUACACACCAAAGCUUCUGAAAUUAUACAGAGCCAGAAAAGGAGCGUUUGGACAUGAAAUGGAAGAGCUCCUGGAAAGAAUUGAUGAAAGGGCAAGUUAAUAAUUUUCAUUAUUUACAUGUUUUUGAUCUAUGUAGUUGAUGAUAUUUCAGAUUUCAUUCUGUGACUUUUUGGUUGAAUCUUUUUUAUGUUUUUGCAGACAACAGAAAUUGUUAAUCACAGAAGGACUGCUGCUUUGGAGGGCCUGCCUUUGUUUCUUCGAGAGAAACAAACUAACCUUUUCAAGAAAUGUAAAGAAACUGAAGAUGGAACAAAGGGCGUAUCA
Danio rerio (zebrafish) is the source of this 457-nucleotide non-coding RNA. The record is from RefSeq and is a predicted model, not a curated record. Lineage: Eukaryota; Metazoa; Chordata; Actinopteri; Cypriniformes; Danionidae.